UCCCUACCGUUGAACUGUGACUUUACUUGU
RNAcentral lists this non-coding RNA (30 nucleotides) under Mus musculus (house mouse). The record is from RNAcentral. Lineage: Eukaryota; Metazoa; Chordata; Mammalia; Rodentia; Muridae.